Syngnathus typhle (broad-nosed pipefish) is the source of this 1154-nucleotide long non-coding RNA. RefSeq lists it as uncharacterized. The record is from RefSeq and is a predicted model, not a curated record. Lineage: Eukaryota; Metazoa; Chordata; Actinopteri; Syngnathiformes; Syngnathidae. The transcript is spliced from 3 exons.
GAAAACAUUAUGUUUAGCGUUCUUUUGAAAGUAGGAAGAAAAAUUCCCUGGACUGAUGAUUAAUCAUAUUUGGAUUACAAACAUUUAGAAUGGAUCAUGGCGGCAUUCACUUCGACUAUGUGGCAUGGGUUUCACGGAGUUGGAACCUACCCCAUCUGACUUUCAUCUGACUGACUAUAUUAUGGACUGGCUGCCAGAUGGACACUCAGUAACCAUCCACAUGUCACCGAAUGGGAACUGAAUCAACACUGCUUUUGUGGAAGUCACGGUAAUUUACACACAGCACCAGGAAGCUCUUUUACCUGUCAUUUGAAGACAUGGGCCCCACUGGCGUGAUGUCAUCUUUGAUCUGAGGGGACUUUAUUUAAAGCAGGCUCGUUAGGUCAAUUACUUCUGAAACAAGCACUCCUUUCCAGCGAUGACGGCAGAGUCCGCGAUGCAACAGGAUAAUCCCUAGCGACUUGUGUGAGGGCAUAGGCAGCAGACCACACUACAGCUGCUAAGCACGUUUGCACGCUUGUGAAUCCCAACAUUAGUACGUCAAAUGGAUUCAGACAUUUGGCCUAGACAUGCCCUAAGACUUAGCCAAAGACACUUCUAACAGGAUAUAAUCAAUCUCUAAUCUUACAUUAACCAGAAUUCCAAGUUCAAAUGUCCCAUUUAAGAGUUUUAGAACCAUAAAUGUUCAUAAACCAAAAUUGUUGGCAUUAUCUCCUCUCCCUGUACAAAGGCAAAGUCCGAUCAGUAAACAGUUCCUGUAAAGUCCACAGUUAGCAGCUACAUUGAUUUUCCAGUUGUGAUUUGGAUUCCUCAAAAAGCUUAAACUGUUGAAGAUGAUUCUGCGACAAUUAGGAUGUCCUUGGUCCAACACUUGGUCCAGGAAAGCUCAUAUCGCUUUUGGUGUGAAGGAGGAUACACAUCUGGUCUUCAUCCUUCCCUACAUGGACUUGCUUUUUACCUGUCAAAGUGUAUUAUUAAUGUUCACGACUCGAGGGCCUCAAAACUGGUUUAGGUGAGUUGAUAGAAAAAUCCAAAUCCCCUUGUUUGAUUUUUUUAAAUACAUGCUUUGAGUCAAACACAGCUGGGAAUAUUUGGGAUUUGGAAAGAGAUUCAAUUGUAAAAUUUUUGGAGCUAGCAGAAGGAUCAACGCUUCA